Choloepus didactylus (southern two-toed sloth) is the source of this 1088-nucleotide long non-coding RNA. RefSeq lists it as uncharacterized. The transcript is spliced from 3 exons. The record is from RefSeq and is a predicted model, not a curated record. Lineage: Eukaryota; Metazoa; Chordata; Mammalia; Pilosa; Megalonychidae.
UGUGGAGCAAGCGGAGGUGCUCUUUGCCUACAAGGCUCUGAGUCCCCUGCUCCCAGAACUUUAUAUUUUGUGUCCAUGUUUCAUUCCUUUGCCACUCUGUCAGCACCAACUGGUGCCCAAUGUGGGGCCCAAAGAACUGGACCUGGUUCCUGACAGAAGAAUCGCUUGAAUGACUGAGGUAUAGCAGUGCUGGAACUCGGGUGGAGGUGAUGGACGGGCACCAAUUUGGGUUAGGGCUCGAUGACUCAAGCCAUAUCAUGACUCCGGGGAAGAAAAGAAAAUGGCUGUGGGACGUCGAGCCACCAGUGAUGCAGCUGCAGGGGCUGACUCUGAAGACAACAGUGACUGGGCCAACACCCCGAACUAGAGAAGCUCGACAUCCCACCUGGGGGCAGAUAAAGAAAUUAUGUCAGGAUGCUGAAAAAUAAGUCCAACGAGACAAGCUGCAUAUGACAGGUUCUAACCUGAUGGCAGCAAUGUUGGCUCUUAUUGCUAUUGCUUCCUCAGAUGCACAAGAAAAACCCUCUCAGACCUAAAGCAGAAAGAAGGCGCUUGGUCCAUCUUGUCAGCAUUGAAGAGGCAAAAAGGGGGACAUGUGGGAAACCGAGUCUUCCAUGUGGCUUAAGCCAUAUCUGGGGUGGUGGCUUGGAAUGUUAAGCCACAUGCCUGCAUGGAAUGCUGUGCAGGCAUGCCUCAUAAAGAUAUGUGUCUUGGAACAUGACAACAACGUUUGCUACUGUCCUGUACCUAGAUUGCUCCUUCUAAUAUGCAACAAGAUGUAAACAUUGGCAAUGGAAAAGGAAACAGCUUGCUCAGUCCUUUCCUCAUACAAAAAUAAAAAAGGGGAUAUGUGGGAAAAUAGCCUGAGCUGGGAAUGCAUCCUUGACUUCCCUAGCAACUGCAUUGUUGAUACAAGAAGCAUGCAAGUCUUGGAUGGUCUGUCCUUGACUUCCCUGUUUUGCUAACUUCCCUAUCUUGCUUUCUCUGGCCUGUUAGUAACUGCCCUAUUUUUUGUGAGAAAGUGAAGCUAAUAAAUAUGCUGUGGAGCAAGCAGAGGUGCUCUUUGCCUACAAGGCUCUGAGUCCCCU